RNAcentral lists this ribosomal RNA (170 nucleotides) under uncultured Sphingomonas sp. Its description in RNAcentral is "partial 16S ribosomal RNA". It matches the Rfam family "Bacterial small subunit ribosomal RNA", at positions 337 to 525 of the family's 1533-position model. The record is from RNAcentral. Lineage: Bacteria; Pseudomonadati; Pseudomonadota; Alphaproteobacteria; Sphingomonadales; Sphingomonadaceae.
UCCUACGGAGGCAGCAGUAAGGAAUAUUGGACAAUGGGCGAAAGCCUGAUCCAGCAAUGCCGCGUGAGUGAUGAAGGCCUUAGGGUUGUAAAGCUCUUUUACCCGGGAUGAUAAUGACAGUACCGGGAGAAUAAGCCCCGGCUAACUCCGUGCCAGCAGCCGCGGUAAUA